RNAcentral lists this ribosomal RNA (166 nucleotides) under uncultured bacterium. RNAcentral's name for it is "partial 16S ribosomal RNA". It matches the Rfam family "Bacterial small subunit ribosomal RNA", at positions 338 to 524 of the family's 1533-position model. The record is from RNAcentral.
CCUACAGGCAGCAGUGGGGAAUAUUGGACAAUGGGCGAAAGCCUGAUCCAGCAAUGCCGCGUGAGUGAUGAAGGUCCUAGGGUUGUAAAGCUUUUUUACUUGGGAUGAUAAUGACAGUACUGGGAGAAUAAGCUCCGGCUAAUUCCGUGCCAGCAGCCGCGGUAAU